RNAcentral lists this non-coding RNA (29 nucleotides) under Mus musculus (house mouse). The record is from RNAcentral. Lineage: Eukaryota; Metazoa; Chordata; Mammalia; Rodentia; Muridae.
UGGCCCAAUGGUGUCCUUUUCCACACUUA